Molecule: transfer-messenger RNA, 366 nt
Filed under: Nitratifractor sp.
Lineage: Bacteria; Pseudomonadati; Campylobacterota; Epsilonproteobacteria; Campylobacterales; Sulfurovaceae
Also listed under: 2 other names
Rfam family: transfer-messenger RNA
About the family: Bacterial tmRNA, also known as 10Sa RNA or SsrA, is named for its dual tRNA and mRNA-like properties. Its role is to liberate the mRNA from a stalled ribosome.
Source: RNAcentral
GGGGGUGACUUGGUUUCGACUGGAGCAGUCGGGGCUAUGUGCAUGUCGGACUGGGCAAUUCCGUUACGCGGCCCAACGCGAAUAAACGCAAACAAUACAGAUUACCGUCCAGCUUACGCAGCAGCGUAAGUUUUAACUAACUUUGGACUGCCCUGCCGGUGAGUGUCAUCUUAACCGGAUUCUGGGUAUCACAAUCUGAUGACUAUAUCUAACGGAAGCCAUGCCGUUAGACGAACCCUCUGGCUGGCGUUGUGUAGCUUUGGGUGCUGUGCAAAGCAACGCGAGACCUAACAACACCAUCUAAGCAUGUAGAGUCAUGGUCCUAGCUGUUUCAGGACAGGGGUUCAAUUCCCCUCACCUCCACCA